Molecule: ribosomal RNA, 334 nt
Filed under: uncultured eukaryote
Lineage: Eukaryota
Description: partial 18S ribosomal RNA
Rfam family: Eukaryotic small subunit ribosomal RNA
Source: RNAcentral
CCCUUAGAUGUCCGGGGCCGCACGCGCGCUACACUGAAGGAAUCAGCGUGGCUUUCUCCCUGACCCGAAAGGGUUGGGAAACCCGUUGAAUCUCCUUCGUGAUAGGGAUUGGGGCUUGAAAUUGUUCCCCAUGAACGAGGAAUUCCCAGUAAGCGCGAGUCAUAAGCUCGCGUUGAUUACGUCCCUGCCCUUUGUACACACCGCCCGUCGCUACUACCGAUUGAACGGUUUAGUGAGGGCCUCGGAUUGGUCUCGGCCCGCUCUUUACCGGGCGGCGCCGUUGGUCGAGAAGACGCUCGAACUUGAUCGUUUAGAGGAAGUAAAAUUCGUAACA